GUUGCACGACUGUCGUCAGCUCGUGUCGUGAGAUGUUUGGUUAAGUCCUUAAACGGGUGCAACUCUUAUCUUUUAAUUUAUUUACAAACAAAAAUUUAUUGAUAAAUUUUUAAGCUUUAAAGAUACGGUCAACGAUAAGUUGAAGGAAGGUAAGAAUGAGGUCAAGUCAAUGUGACCCUUAUGAAUUGGGCUACACAUGUGCUACAAUGAAAAUUACAAAAAGUGACAAAAAAGAAAUUUUGAGUUAAUCUACAAAAAUUUUCCCAGUUCGGAUU
This 275-nucleotide ribosomal RNA is filed under the name uncultured bacterium. RNAcentral describes it as "partial 16S ribosomal RNA". It matches the Rfam family "Bacterial small subunit ribosomal RNA", at positions 1040 to 1299 of the family's 1533-position model. The record is from RNAcentral.